This is a non-coding RNA of Delphinapterus leucas (beluga whale), 512 nucleotides long. The record is from RefSeq and is a predicted model, not a curated record. NCBI's taxonomy places the organism in Eukaryota, Metazoa, Chordata, Mammalia, Artiodactyla, Monodontidae.
GGCUGUGCAAUCCCCCCGCCCGCGCCAGUCCUUGCGAGCUGACUCCAGGCGAGGAGCGAGGAACCCGCGACGCCGCGUUUAAAAGCGGGUCUCGGCUUUAUGUCAGAAGCCGCAACCGGAAAUAGAAGCCGCUUGGAGCCCGGUGGCCGUGGAGAGGCGCUCUAGCCCCGAACGCGGCUCCGCGACCGGAACUAGAGAACUCUAUGGUCUCACAGGGACUUCCGCUUCCGCCCCCAGCGGGCUCGGUUGGAGAGGAGUUUUCCGCUGGUGCACAUUAAAGAUCCACAACCAUGACUGACUCCAAGUACUUCACAACCAAUAAAAAAGGAGAAAUCUUUGAAUUAAAGGCUGAACUCAACAAUGAAAAGAAAGAAAAGAGGAAGGAGGCUGUGAAGAAAGUGAUUGCUGCUAUGACUGUGGGGAAAGAUGUUAGGUAAGGGUAGUCUCUUCUGCUUUGCUCAUUUUAGACUCUUACUCUAUGGCUUUUACUGCUUUUUUUUUUUUUUUUUUUU